UACGAAGGGGGCUAGCGUUGUUCGGAUUUACUGGGCGUAAAGCGCACGUAGGCGGAUUGUUAAGUCAGGGGUGAAAUCCUGGAGCUCAACUCCAGAACUGCCUUUGAUACUGGCAAUCUAGAGUCCGGAAGAGGUGAGUGGAACUCCUAGUGUAGAGGUGGAAUUCGUAGAUAUUAGGAAGAACACCAGUGGCGAAGGCGGCUCACUGGACAGUAACUGACGCUGAGACACGAAAGCGUGGGGAUCAAACAGG
This 253-nucleotide ribosomal RNA is filed under the name uncultured bacterium. RNAcentral's name for it is "partial 16S ribosomal RNA". It matches the Rfam family "Bacterial small subunit ribosomal RNA", at positions 524 to 776 of the family's 1533-position model. The record is from RNAcentral.